GGCGGAUUCGUCUAACAGGUAAGGACAAGAGGCUUUCAAUCUCUAAAUAUCGGGUUCGAUCCCCAUAUCCGUCA
Molecule: transfer RNA, 74 nt
Filed under: Ruminococcus sp.
Lineage: Bacteria; Bacillati; Bacillota; Clostridia; Eubacteriales; Oscillospiraceae
Description: tRNA-Glu
Rfam family: tRNA
About the family: Transfer RNA (tRNA) molecules are approximately 80 nucleotides in length. Their secondary structure includes four short double-helical elements and three loops (D, anti-codon, and T loops).
Source: RNAcentral